UCCCACUCGAAGAUCCAGUAUCUGCUACUGAUGAUAUUACAAUACUUCCAGAGCUUGAGUAUUGUGAAAGUAAAUGCGAUUCCAUAUGGUUAGGAAUUGUUUAUAGCUUUAAGGGCCCUAUAUCCAAGAAAGAUGAAGAACGCCAUUAAAAAUUGGUUGCCGAAAACGAGGAAUCACAACUUUUCUGUGCAAAAUGUAGAAAAUAUGGAUAAAAGGAAAUACUCUUAUUUUAAUUGAAAUUUCUUGUUGCACUCCACUCGUGCCGUGCAUUUUUAAUGAGAGAUUCAACAACCUUUCAGCAUAUUUGCAUAAAAUAUUCAUUUGAAUUAUUAAUAUUGGAAACGUGUUGGUGGGGCGAUUAACAUCAAUUGGAUUAAGUACAUAAAUCAUUGCAUAUAAAAAGGUUUAAGAUCCAAUUUACAAAUUUUUAAGAUAUAAAAAUAGUAAUAUUUUGCAGUCCAGUCUCAAAUUGAAAUCAGUCAACCUAUGGGCAUGGAUGGACGCUUUGUUAGCCCCCAAAGAAUACCCAAAGAUUUUUCAUAUGUGAAAGUCAACGCUAUUCCAUGUGGUUAGGCCUUUUCUAUGGCGCUAAAAGCAUAAUUCUGGUGUUUGGCCUACAUCUAUACAUCUAUAACCCAUUCGCAUAUUUGAAUUGGAAUUUCAAUUGGAUUAACUAAAUAAAUCAUUGAAUAUACGCAAAUAUUUAUAAUGACAAUUAUGAAAAUUUAACUCUGA
This 735-nucleotide small RNA is filed under the name Drosophila pseudoobscura pseudoobscura. RNAcentral describes it as "GA32896". Lineage: Eukaryota; Metazoa; Arthropoda; Insecta; Diptera; Drosophilidae. The record is from RNAcentral.